RNAcentral lists this transfer RNA (73 nucleotides) under Loxodonta africana (African savanna elephant). It matches the Rfam family "tRNA". Rfam says of the family: Transfer RNA (tRNA) molecules are approximately 80 nucleotides in length. Their secondary structure includes four short double-helical elements and three loops (D, anti-codon, and T loops). Further hydrogen bonds mediate the characteristic L-shaped molecular structure. tRNAs have two regions of fundamental functional importance: the anti-codon, which is responsible for specific mRNA codon recognition, and the 3' end, to which the tRNAs corresponding amino acid is attached (by aminoacyl-tRNA synthetases). tRNAs cope with the degeneracy of the genetic code in two manners: having more than one tRNA (with a specific anti-codon) for a particular amino acid; and 'wobble' base-pairing, i.e. permitting non-standard base-pairing at the 3rd anti-codon position. The record is from Rfam by way of RNAcentral. Lineage: Eukaryota; Metazoa; Chordata; Mammalia; Proboscidea; Elephantidae.
GUUUAUGUAGUGUAGUUGUUAUCACUUUUGCCUCACACGCUAAAGGUCCCGGGUUCCAAACCGGGCGGAAACA